RNAcentral lists this small nuclear RNA (107 nucleotides) under Colobus angolensis palliatus. Lineage: Eukaryota; Metazoa; Chordata; Mammalia; Primates; Cercopithecidae. The record is from RNAcentral.
AUGCUCACUUCAGCAGCAUAUAUACUAAAAUUGGAAUGAUACAGAGAAGAUUAGCAUGGCCCCCGCGCAAGGAUGACAUACACAUUUGUGAAGCAUUCUGUAUUUUU